GUGCUAAUACAUGCAAGUCGAGCGAACGGACGAGAAGCUUGCUUCUCUGAUGUUAGCGGCGGACGGGUGAGUAACACGUGGAUAACCUACCUAUAAGACUGGGAUAACUUCGGGAAACCGGAGCUAAUACCGGAUAAUAUUUUGAACCGCAUGGUUCAAAAGUGAAAGACGGUCUUGCUGUCACUUAUAGAUGGAUCCGCGCUGCAUUAGCUAGUUGGUAAGGUAACGGCUUACCAAGGCAACGAUGCAUAGCCGACCUGAGAGGGUGAUCGGCCACACUGGAACUGAGACACGGUCCAGACUCCUACGGGAGGCAGCAGUAGGGAAUCUUCCGCAAUGGGCGAAAGCCUGACGGAGCAACGCCGCGUGAGUGAUGAAGGUCUUCGGAUCGUAAAACUCUGUUAUUAGGGAAGAACAUAUGUGUAAGUAACUGUGCACAUCUUGACGGUACCUAAUCAGAAAGCCACGGCUAACUACGUGCCAGCAGCCGCGGUAAUACGUAGGUGGCAAGCGUUAUCCGGAAUUAUUGGGCGUAAAGCGCGCGUAGGCGGUUUUUUAAGUCUGAUGUGAAAGCCCACGGCUCAACCGUGGAGGGUCAUUGGAAACUGGAAAACUUGAGUGCAGAAGAGGAAAGUGGAAUUCCAUGUGUAGCGGUGAAAUGCGCAGAGAUAUGGAGGAACACCAGUGGCGAAGGCGACUUUCUGGUCUGUAACUGACGCUGAUGUGCGAAAGCGUGGGGAUCAAACAGGAUUAGAUACCCUGGUAGUCCACGCCGUAAACGAUGAGUGCUAAGUGUUAGGGGGUUUCCGCCCCUUAGUGCUGCAGCUAACGCAUUAAGCACUCCGCCUGGGGAGUACGACCGCAAGGUUGAAACUCAAAGGAAUUGACGGGGACCCGCACAAGCGGUGGAGCAUGUGGUUUAAUUCGAAGCAACGCGAAGAACCUUACCAAAUCUUGACAUCCUUUGACAACUCUAGAGAUAGAGCCUUCCCCUUCGGGGGACAAAGUGACAGGUGGUGCAUGGUUGUCGUCAGCUCGUGUCGUGAGAUGUUGGGUUAAGUCCCGCAACGAGCGCAACCCUUAAGCUUAGUUGCCAUCAUUAAGUUGGGCACUCUAAGUUGACUGCCGGUGACAAACCGGAGGAAGGUGGGGAUGACGUCAAAUCAUCAUGCCCCUUAUGAUUUGGGCUACACACGUGCUACAAUGGACAAUACAAAGGGCAGCGAAACCGCGAGGUCAAGCAAAUCCCAUAAAGUUGUUCUCAGUUCGGAUUGUAGUCUGCAACUCGACUACAUGAAGCUGGAAUCGCUAGUAAUCGUAGAUCAGCAUGCUACGGUGAAUACGUUCCCGGGUCUUGUACACACCGCCCGUCACACCACGAGAGUUUGUAACACCCGAAGCCGGUGGAGUAACCUUUUAGGAGCUAGCCGUCGAAGGUGGACAAAAGGG
RNAcentral lists this ribosomal RNA (1449 nucleotides) under Staphylococcus argenteus. RNAcentral describes it as "partial 16S ribosomal RNA". It matches the Rfam family "Bacterial small subunit ribosomal RNA". The record is from RNAcentral. Lineage: Bacteria; Bacillati; Bacillota; Bacilli; Caryophanales; Staphylococcaceae.